RNAcentral lists this long non-coding RNA (644 nucleotides) under Erythranthe guttata (spotted monkey flower). Its description in RNAcentral is "long non-coding RNA (EGUT_LNC001163)". Lineage: Eukaryota; Viridiplantae; Streptophyta; Magnoliopsida; Lamiales; Phrymaceae. The record is from RNAcentral.
GAUUUUUGCCACCGAAGUUUGACCCGCCUUAAAGGUUUGACCGCCUCGGACCGCCUCAAACCGCCUCACAGGCAAAAAACCGAUUUUUCAAACCUUUACACUAAAAUCGUAAAGGUUUCGGAACGCCUCCGCCUCGGCGACCGAUUAAUCGGCCGCCUCGGCCGAUUUUUAGAACACUGUCUAAAACACAGAUCCGACUAUUGACGUUUUACUCGACUAUACAAUUUUCUUAUAUGUAUCAAUAGGGGAUAUCACUUGCUCACCCGCGUUUAGCAGCAUAAUGUCAUCUGCCAUUUUCGAUGCUUCGAUGACUGCAACAUUUUACUGAGUAUGUUAGAUAAGCAAAUAUAUACAGAUUAUCCGAAAAAAAAUCUCAAAUAGACUAUCACGUCGCAGUUAAACAUAAACAUAGUAAUGGGUGACCUUUUUUUGUGGUUGUCCUGCCCAUCAAAAGUUGAAAAAUCAGCGAUUGAUUGCUCGAAUUUGGUAUGCGAUUAUAACAGAUCUGCAAUUAUACAAACGUGAUAGUCGAUUUAGCCAAAACAUAUCAACAAAUCCAUGGACGAUAUCGAUGCAACUAGCGGCGAAGACGUACUUAUGGGUUUAUGCUUGCUCGGAGUGCACAUAGUCGUCGUUUUGAUACA